Silurus meridionalis is the source of this 585-nucleotide long non-coding RNA. RefSeq lists it as uncharacterized. The transcript is spliced from 3 exons. The record is from RefSeq and is a predicted model, not a curated record. NCBI's taxonomy places the organism in Eukaryota, Metazoa, Chordata, Actinopteri, Siluriformes, Siluridae.
CUUGGGAAAGGGAGUUUGUUCCAGCACGUGCUGACACUGACAUGACAGAAGCAGCAAGGCUGAAUGUUCUUGGUAUGAAUCAUCCACAGUGUGUCCAAGGACAAGAGCUAACGAGGUAAAAAGUUGUGUGAAAGAACUUACAUGGCCUGCCCAGAACCUGAUUUCCACCUCACUGAACACUUUCAGGAUAAAAUGGAAUGCUGACUCUGUGACGGGUCAGGUGCCCGCCUUUUCAGCCCCAAUGUCACCUUCUACUCUAAUGUAGUUGUACUGAAAGAGUGUGGUUAUGAGACGAUUCCCAGGGUCGUGGAUGCCUGCGAGCUAUCUCUCCCCUAGUGCUACAUCCUCCCUUAAGGCCCCAGUGUUGCCUACCACGCCUCUUCAGACCUCCUUGGCUUUGUUGGGCAAAGCAUACAUGGCGGCAUGUCAGGCUGCACACUAUGGCAGUCUUGCAGGCACUCUUGCCAUCAAGAAGCACUUGUGGUUGACUUUUUCUGAUCUCAGUGGCAGGGACAGAACCUUUCUUCUAGAUGCCCCUGUCAUGGCAACUGGCCUGUGCACCAAUUAAAAUCUUAUUCAUGUCUA